ACGACUCUCGGCAACGGAUAUCUCGGCUCACGCAUCGAUGAAGAACGUAGCAAAAUGCGAUACUUGGUGUGAAUUGCAGAAUCCCGUGAACCAUCGAGUUUUUGAACGCAAGUUGCGCCCGAAACCAUUUGGUGGAGGGCACGUCUGCCUGGGCGUCACGC
RNAcentral lists this ribosomal RNA (161 nucleotides) under Antennaria chilensis. RNAcentral's name for it is "5.8S ribosomal RNA". It matches the Rfam family "5.8S ribosomal RNA". From Rfam's summary of the family: 5.8S ribosomal RNA (5.8S rRNA) is a component of the large subunit of the eukaryotic ribosome. It is transcribed by RNA polymerase I as part of the 45S precursor that also contains 18S and 28S rRNA. Functionally, it is thought that 5.8S rRNA may be involved in ribosome translocation. Lineage: Eukaryota; Viridiplantae; Streptophyta; Magnoliopsida; Asterales; Asteraceae. The record is from RNAcentral.